This 70-nucleotide transfer RNA is filed under the name Dipodomys ordii (Ord's kangaroo rat). It matches the Rfam family "tRNA". From Rfam's summary of the family: Transfer RNA (tRNA) molecules are approximately 80 nucleotides in length. Their secondary structure includes four short double-helical elements and three loops (D, anti-codon, and T loops). Lineage: Eukaryota; Metazoa; Chordata; Mammalia; Rodentia; Heteromyidae. The record is from Rfam by way of RNAcentral.
GGGAAAGUGGCUUAGUGGUAGAGUGCUUGCCUUACAUGCAGGAAACCUUGGGUUCAAUUCUUCAGUACCA